UACGUAGGCAGCAAGCGUUGUUCGGAGUUACUGGGUGUAAAGGGUUCGUAGGCGGUGUGGCAAGUCGGGAGUGAAAUUUCUGGGCUCAACUCAGAGACUGCUUCCGAAACUGCUGUGCUUGAGUGUGGGAGAGGCGCGUGGAAUUGCAGGUGUAGCGGUGAAAUGCGUAGAGAUCGGGAGGAACACCAGAGGCGAAGGCGGCGACCUGGACAGGCACUGACACUCAACUACGAAAGCGUGGGGAGCAAACAGG
This 253-nucleotide ribosomal RNA is filed under the name uncultured bacterium. RNAcentral's name for it is "partial 16S ribosomal RNA". It matches the Rfam family "Bacterial small subunit ribosomal RNA", at positions 524 to 776 of the family's 1533-position model. The record is from RNAcentral.